Molecule: long non-coding RNA, 2881 nt
Organism: Panonychus citri (citrus red mite)
Lineage: Eukaryota; Metazoa; Arthropoda; Arachnida; Trombidiformes; Tetranychidae
Exons: 3
Source: RefSeq, a predicted model, not a curated record
AUAAUUGUUGAAACUUUGUUUUCUUCAUUGUAAUUAACCAACAAAGAGAAAGAAAACUAAUCAUCAUUUGAUUUCUUCUUCUUUUUUCUCUCAUUGUUUUCGCUUUGUUUUUCUUCAGUAAGUGUUGGUGUUUCUCUACCGAUGCCAUCAUGUUACAACUUUCACCUUCUCUAUCCAGGUAAGUUAAUUGCUAUUAUUAUCAUAAUAAUUCACAAUUUUCUGUAUUCUUAAUUCAUUACUAAUGCUCAACCUGAGCAUCAACAAAAAUGAGACUCACGAACCGAUUAAACUUGAAUCACCAUCAACAUGUUACAAAGCAAUUGUGAGUUUCCACUCAGUUAUUAUGGUUUGCACUUUGAUUACAUUUGUCUUCAUGAUGAUGAUUUACCUGAUAAUACACCAAUGGUUAAUGAAGGAAAAAUUAUUUUACAGAAUAAAAUUAAACUAAUCAACUUUGACUUGAUUUUAUCAACCUACUUUGGGUCAAUGUCAGACACGAGUAACAAGCAACAAUUUGCUUAAUCAUGAUCAUCAACAUAAUCAACAAUAAAAGUGACUUUUAAACUGGGAGACAAUUAAAUUAAUAUAAUCAAAUUGAAGAUGAACAUCAACAAGCAUCAUUUUCUCAUUUAAAUCGUCGGAUUAUCAAUCAAUUAAAAGAAGAUGAUUCUGAAUAUAUUAACCAUCUCUCUCUCUCUCUCUCUUCCUGAAUCUUCAUGUUAAUUGUGAAAUUAAAUUAAACAGAAUGACAUCAAUGUUAAUUUUCAUAUUUUUCUUUUUUUUAUCCUCGUUUACGUUAAUCGCAAUUCUAAUCCGAAUCAUUAAUCUUAAUCUCUUUUUUAUCUUUAAUUUUCUCUUCCCUUUUAGUUUUUAUGGUUAAUCAAAUGAUUUAGACGAAAGUGAAUUCAUGUUAAUGAUUAACUUUCACAUCGAUCAGAAUGUGAGCUUGUUAAUUGUAACCACAAAUUAGAAUUACAAUUUGUUGUUACUUCUAAUUGGUUCAAAUUGUAUCAUUUAAUUAAUAUAAUAAUCGCAAGGGUGAUUUGUUAAUGUUAAUUGCUGCUGAUAAAUGAUUAACAACAACAACAGUUAUAAUUUAUCAACAUGGACAACAGAUGAGAUGCUGGGAAUUGAUAUUCAUUGAUUAUACAAUUUGAACCUGUUAAUUGUAAGCCACAAUUGUAAACUGAUGGACCACCCAAUAGAACCGGUAUCAUGAUGACCACCGGUCAAACAACAUGAAGUGUCUGCUGGUCAACUGAGGAAGUGUCAAAUAAUCAAAGUUGAUGAUAAUAGUAGACAACAUACUGCGUGGGCUUUUUGUGAGUUAAUAAACGUGAUUAAGAUUCAACUGUUUAACUUAAUUGUUAAUUGAAUACACUCAAGAUUCACCUUGAUUAUCAUUUGUUUAAUCAUGUCUAUCACCAAGAAUCAGUGAAAACAAAACAAAUCGGAACCAUGUGUUAAUUAAUUAACAUGGCUAAUUAACUGUUUUCAUUCAACUCAAUUCAAUUAUAAUGCUUUUCGUUGUAUUUAUGACAGAUAAUCAGUUAAUCAUUUGAAUAAUCUCACUAAUUGACCAAGUGUGAAGCCGAAUCAAGUUAACCAAUAAUUGAUUGAUUACCUGAUUUAAUGGAUAUGAAGAUGAAGAUGAAAAUUUUGAUGGCAACCAGUAGACAAUUAAGUUAAACAAUGACAAUCAACAGCACGAAUGAUAAUCAUGAUGAUAUUUCAAGGCGCUCAUUCAUAUAAUAAUAAUGAUAAUAAAUUAAUUAGCAUUUAAUUUACAAAACCAUUAAUCAUAAUCUAUUGUGUUGAUAUAAAGAUGGAAUCAAUCAACACAAUUCCCUAAAAGGAUAACAAUUAAAUAAUCACCAAUUUACAGACUAAAUUAACGAAACCAUAUUAACCAAAAAAUUAAGACUAAACUGAAACAAUGGUAACAUCAUUGUGAUGAUGAUCCAAAUUUAACUCACUGAUACAAUCAAUAAACGCUAAUCAACAAGUUAAUUUUGUCUAAAUUAGUAACAAUUAACCUGUUGUUGCAAUACCCACAUGUAAUAUUAAUAGUUAAAAUUAACCAGCUGAAGAAAUUGUCUUCAAUUGGCAACAAUUAAGAUCAUUUUCUUUUAAUUACUCUGUUAUAUAUUUAUGAUGAUUUGUAAAUCGAGAAAAAGCUUUUCGUACAAUCAGUUAAUCAUCAUGUUAAUCUCUAUAGAAUUGAAUCGAGAAUUAAAUGAAAAGAAGAAGCGAAUUCGGUAAAUGAGUUUCAAUUGUAGUUCGAAAGUGUACAUUUCAUCACGAAUAAUUCACAAUUUUGUUACUUUUAUUCAUCAACAAUUUACAUCAACCAGUUAAUUACAAUAACUAAUGAUAGUAAAUGCGGAAAUUACUUUAUUAUUUAAGAUAUUAUAUGAAAAUCGGAAAAUUUAUCAUGUCCGAUUCACGAUCAACAUCAUCAAAUGUACAAUAAUAUUAACUGAGGACGACAAGAGGUCAGUUGAACAAAAGGCAAUCGUCAAAUUGUUUUCAAUUAUUAUAAUCAAAAAGGAAACAAAAUUUCAUCCAAUUUAUUUAACUUCAUCAACAUGAUUAACAAUUGAUUGGUUGUUAAUCAACGAGAUGAGAGAGAUGAUCAAGUAAACAAUUGAAAAACGAGUAUAAUCAAGGAUUAACAUUUAUAUUCUGAUGGGAUCAAGAUUAAAGGAGGAUAAGGAAUCGUAUCAAUUAACAUCAUCAUCUUUAAUCAUCCUCAUCAUUGGGAUGAUAAAUUGAAAUGAUUGAAACUGUAAAGGAAAUGAUAUAAUUAUAAGCCGAUUUUAAAUUGUUAAAUCAAAUAGCCUAAAGGUUAAUGAUAUUGUUAUUUAUUAUUUAUGGUUAA